Molecule: ribosomal RNA, 392 nt
Filed under: Staphylococcus aureus
Lineage: Bacteria; Bacillati; Bacillota; Bacilli; Caryophanales; Staphylococcaceae
Description: partial 23S ribosomal RNA
Rfam family: Bacterial large subunit ribosomal RNA
Source: RNAcentral
GUCGCCUCCUAAAAGGUAACGGAGGCGCUCAAAGGUUCCCUCAGAAUGGUUGGAAAUCAUUCAUAGAGUGUAAAGGCAUAAGGGAGCUUGACUGCGAGACCUACAAGUCGAGCAGGGUCGAAAGACGGACUUAGUGAUCCGGUGGUUCCGCAUGGAAGGGCCAUCGCUCAACGGAUAAAAGCUACCCCGGGGAUAACAGGCUUAUCUCCCCCAAGAGUUCACAUCGACGGGGAGGUUUGGCACCUCGAUGUCGGCUCAUCGCAUCCUGGGGCUGUAGUCGGUCCCAAGGGUUGGGCUGUUCGCCCAUUAAAGCGGUACGCGAGCUGGGUUCAGAACGUCGUGAGACAGUUCGGUCCCUAUCCGUCGUGGGCGUAGGAAAUUUGAGAGGAGCU